This 395-nucleotide ribosomal RNA is filed under the name uncultured bacterium. Its description in RNAcentral is "partial 16S ribosomal RNA". It matches the Rfam family "Bacterial small subunit ribosomal RNA", at positions 523 to 918 of the family's 1533-position model. The record is from RNAcentral.
AUACGUAGGGUGCAAGCGUUAAUCGGAAUUACUGGGCGUAAAGCGUGCGCAGGCGGUUUUGUAAGACAGAGGUGAAAUCCCCGGGCUCAACCUGGGAACUGCCUUUGUGACUGCAAGGCUAGAGUACGGCAGAGGGGGAUGGAAUUUCGGGUGUGGCAGUGCAAAGCGUAGAUUUGCGGAGGAACACCGAGGGCGCAGGCAAACCCAUGGGCCUGUACGUACGCUCCGGCCCGAAGGCGUGGGGAUCAAUCAGGAUUAGAGCCCCUGGUAGACCACUGCCCACUGGAUGUCGACUGUGUGCUUGGAAUGCAAUGUAUUGGUACCGAAGCGAACGCGUUUAGUGAUACGCCUGGGGAGCUCGGCCUCAAGGUUGAAACUCAAAGGAAUUGACGGGG